RNAcentral lists this long non-coding RNA (1710 nucleotides) under Homo sapiens (human). Its description in RNAcentral is "HSALNT0307459". Lineage: Eukaryota; Metazoa; Chordata; Mammalia; Primates; Hominidae. The record is from RNAcentral.
GUGGGUGGUUCUCUCCUGCUAACUUCUAAAGUUGAAGCUAAGGGGAUCAUUAUUUAUCUGGAGACUAUAAGGCUGUGCUGUCCAGUAUGGUAGUCACCAGCCUCAUGUGGCUGUUGAGAACUUGAAAUGUGGCUAGUCCGGAUCGAGAUGUGCUCUGAAUACAGACAAUAUGGAGGCCUCAGGCUCAGAGGAUGGCAGAGUCUUCAGAUGGAUGGAGGGAGCUGCAGUCACUGAACCACUGCAGGGAGAGAAGUACUCACAGACCAGGAACGCUCAACUUGGACUGUUAUGUGACAGAAAGGAGACAUGCAUACAAGGAGAAUGCCAGGUGAACGUGAAGACCAUCAUUUGCAAGCCAAGAGAGGCCUGGAGCAGAUCCUUCAGAGCCCUCAGAAGGGACCAACCCUGCUGGCACCUUGAUUUUGGACUUCCAGCCUCCAGAACUAAGAACUUGAUGUAUACCUCCUGACCUGUUCAUCUUGUAGCUGCCUCUUGACAGCACAUGUUGGCACCUUUAGAAAGAUCUAGAAAUCCACGUGUUGUACGUAAAUCUGGGGCUGUUGUUACUGCAGAUGUACCUUCCACAACUUGAUUUUCUGUGAUGUCAAUUAUUCAGAUAUAAGAGGCCGCCCUGUAGAGGAGGAAGGAGGAAGUUGGCUGUGAUUGACCUUGCUAGGUCAUCUUCCUAAUCUUUGUCCUUUCCUGCACCCCAAAUGGAAGAUAAAAGGCAAUGCAAGAUCAGCAUCCUCAGAGACAUCGUUUUGUUUGGGUUUCAUGGAUUGCAAUUGCCAGAGAUGCUUAGGCUGCCUCUAGAGGGAAGAUGAUUGAUUGUUAACCUAUGUGGUCCAACCAAAUGUCUUAGGGGUUAUUGAUAAUUAAAAUGGACAAUAGCGAUUUUCCAUUUCUUCUGGCCUUGGGUGCUGGCAUGUGGAAGUGGUAUUGAUACUCAUGACCAAAUAGGCACUUAUCGAUUUCAGUUUUCAUAAGUUGCCUACCAAAUGCAAACUAGUAACCCAGACGUGGGAGACCUAAUAUUCCAUUGUUAAUCUUUAGGUCCAUAAUUUUUAUUUCCUCUACUUGCCUCUUCUUCCUUCCUCUGCAUAAUGAGUUGGGCUUAUAUAAUUGCACCCAUUUACUCACUCAUUCGUUCAAUCAAUUAUUUGUUCCUAUUUUAUGCCAAGUAAUGAACAGAAGGUGUUGGGGAUGCAAAACCCAACUAAUUGGAAUUUCUAUGUUACAGGAGCUUAUGCUUUAGUGAAAUUAUAGACAAAUUAUUAUACAGUUUUAAUCCAGAAUAGUAAGUGCUAUGGGAGCAUGCACAGAGGAAACAACCCAAUCUUAAGGAAUCAGGAAGGUUUGCAGAGGACUGACAGGAAAAGUGGGCAGGUGAAGAAGAUGGGCAGUGAGAGGAGGAGUGGAAGCACUUUUGCUAGGGAAAAACAUGAAUAAAAGGGAUAAUUUUCUGCUCUUACCCCUGGGUGAUCUUUGCGUGGUACUGUCCAUCACAGUUGGGAGAGACGGCUCCUCAGAGCUGCUCCACACUGUUCACAGAGGAUGCCAUUCCAAGGAAACUGGGGAAUAGGGAAAGUCUUUAGCUUAUUCCUCUUUGAGGUUUGUUUGAGAUGCAGUUUCUUCAAUAUUUUGAGUCUAUGAAAACAUGUUGUAUACUUAAAUAUAUACCACAAAAAAUAAAAAAAAUUGCGAUUUAAA